GAAUAGAAGACAACACUGAGAACUUCUAGCUGAGUUAGAAGCACCCGGUCAGGGUAUGUGGGCAGAGGGAAAUACCUGCGUCUUUGGGGGUCUUGGGAAGGGUCUGGCCCAGGGAGGCGGUGCUGGGGUCGAUGUGUAUAAUUCAUCCCAAGUCUCAGUCAGCUGAGCACACUCCUGGGUGAGCAUACUGGAGAUAGCUAAUAACCAGCGAAAUCCCGGCGGAUGACACCAUCUGCAGCCAAGCUGAUGAAUUAAAAUCCAAGUGACAGUGGCAGGAGCUGGAGAGAACUCUGCAAAUGAGGCUGACAGGACAGCACACUGAGGGAAUAGACUCUCCUUUUAUAGCUGCACCACCCUCAGAGGUCCUGGGUCCAAGCCCGCAGGCUGCAGCCGGCUGGAGAAGCAAGGACAGUGCCCUGAAAGCUGCAGUCAGGGGUCUUCUCAGGACACGGCUGGAAGGAAGGCGAGAACCCCUGGAUCUGAAUAGUCCGGAGCAGGCAUCAAGAUCCACUGUCAACAUUGCAAGGCUUGGAGCAGAUGGAGGGUCAUAUACCACAGGCCAAACUAUUUACAAGAGUUAAACUAAAAACUGGUAAGUAACAGAAGUUCUCUCCUUCUAUUUUUACCAUUAUUUUUUCAAAAUUGCUUGGAGUUAGGUUAUAAGAAAACAUGGAUAUGACCUUAGAUCCAGCAAUGGUUUCUUGAUGGUGACACCAAAGGCAGGAAGAAAGGCACAAAUAGAUACAUUUUACAUCACCAUAAAAAUGAAAUGCAGAGUUCCCUUCAUGGCUCCGUGGUUAACAAACCCGACUAGGAUCCAUGAGGAUGCAGAUUCGACCCCUGGCCUCGCUCAGUGGGUUAAGGAUCCAGCCUUGCCAUGAGCUAUGUUGUAGGUUCCAGCGUUGCUGUGGCUGUGGUGUAGGCUGGAAGCUUUAGCUCUGAUUUGACCCCUAGCCUGGGAACUUCCAUAUGCCACAGGUGCAGCCCUUAAAAAAAAAAAAAAAGAAAAAAAAAUUAAAUGCUUUCCUGCUCUGAAAGACACCAUCAAAAAAGUGAAAAGACAACUCACAGAACAGGAGAAUGUAUUUUCAACUUAUUUUUAAAAAUCUUACAACUCAGCAGUGAACAGACAACCCAUUUUUUAAAUGAAUGAAAAGUUGGAGCUAUUUGUACAAAGAACACAUACAAAUGGUCAAAAAACACAUUAAAGGAGGCCUCAACAUCAUUUGCCGUGAAGGAAAUACAAGCAAAACCAUGAUGAGGUACCAUUUCAUGUCCACUAGCACGGUUCUAGUCCAAAUAAGAGAUAAUAACAAGUGUUAAUGAAAUGUAGAAAAAUUGGAAUCCUCAUAUAUUACUGAUGGGAAUGGAAAAUGGUUCAGCCACUUUGGAAGAACAGUCCGGAAGUUCUUCAAAAGUAAAGUUUAGACUUAUCAUAUGACUCAGCAAUUCCAUUCCUUAGGUAUAUGCCCAAGAGAAUUGAAAACACAAGUCUACACAAAAACUCAUGUUCCUAGUAGCAUUAUUCAUAUUAACCAAAACCUGGAAAUAACCAAAUGCCCAUCAACUGAUGAAUGGGUGAACAAAAUGUGGUACAGUGGAAUGUUAUUCAGACUUUAUUGAAUUACUGAUGUAUAUUCCAACAUGGAUAAACCUUAAAAAUAUUAUACUAAGCGAAAGAGAAGCCAGUCACCAAACCCCCCUCAUAUUUCAUUUGUAUAUGUCCAAGAACAGGCAAAUCCAUAGAGACAGAAAGAUUGGUGGUUACUGGGAAUGUGAGGAAAUGUCUGGAAUUAGACAAUGAUUAUGGUUGUAAAAGUUCAUGAGUUUAGUGAAACCUAUGGAAUUUUACACUUUGAAAGGGUGAAUUCAUACAUAGCAUUGAGAACUAUGUCUAGAUACUUAUGUUGCAACAGAACAAAGGGUGGGGAAAAAAAUGUAUACAUGUAAGGAUAACUUGAUUCCCUUGCUGUACAGUGGGAAAAAAUAAAUAAUAAAAAAAGAAAGGGUGAAUUUUAAAG
RNAcentral lists this long non-coding RNA (2021 nucleotides) under Sus scrofa (pig). RNAcentral describes it as "lncRNA (ENSSSCG00035040974.1)". The record is from RNAcentral. Lineage: Eukaryota; Metazoa; Chordata; Mammalia; Artiodactyla; Suidae.